CAGGGAGACAACAAAAUGUUAAAUAUUAAUUUUGUCACCUUAGGUCGAUCGGUAUCUCACAUCCUUAACUAUUUAAGGAUUUUAUUUCCUAAGUUUUUUCUAGGUCACACCCAUUACUUUUCCUGGGCCAUUAGCUCAGGUGGUUAGAGCGCACCCCUGAUAAGGGUGAGGUCCCUGGUUCAAGUCCAGGAUGGCCCAUAUCUCUAUGUUGGGGGUAUAGCUCAGUUGGUAGAGCGCCUGCUUUGCAAGCAGGAUGUCAGCGGUUCGAGUCCGCUUACCUCCACUGAUCACCACCUCUUCAUAAUUUAUAGAUGGGAAUUGUUUUGUGAUGUGAUCAAAUUCUGAACGAAUCUAGCUUCCUAAUCAAUCGUAUUAAGAUGCUGGACUCAUUGAAUUAAUUUCAUUGUUUUCAGAGAACCUUGACAACUGCAUAGAUUAUUUUUAAAGACAAUAAGCAUCUUUAAUGAUGCAGAUUUAUUAUUUGUGCGAAUGCAUUAAAUAACAAUUCUAUUAAGCUGAUGCUUCAAUUUUUGAAGUUAUU
This 541-nucleotide transfer RNA is filed under the name uncultured cyanobacterium. RNAcentral's name for it is "partial contains 16S ribosomal RNA, 16S-23S ribosomal RNA intergenic spacer, and 23S ribosomal RNA". The stretch from base 211 to 283 matches the Rfam family "tRNA". Lineage: Bacteria; Bacillati; Cyanobacteriota. The record is from RNAcentral.